Molecule: unclassified non-coding RNA, 343 nt
Filed under: soil metagenome
Description: partial contains 5.8S ribosomal RNA, internal transcribed spacer 2, and large subunit ribosomal RNA
Rfam family: 5.8S ribosomal RNA (bases 1-120)
Source: RNAcentral
GAUGAAGAACGUAGCGAAACGCGAUAAGUAAUGUGAAUUGCAGAAUCCAGUGAAUCAUCGAAUCUUUGAACGCACAUUGCGCCCGCCAGCAUUCUGGCGGGCAUGCCUGUUCGAGCGUCAUUUCAACCCUCGACCUCCCCUUGGGGAGGUCGGCGUUGGGGACCGGCAGCACACCGCCGGCCCUGAAAUGGAGUGGCGGCCCGUCCGCGGCGACCUCUGCGCAGUAAUACAGCUCGCACCGGGACCCCGACGCGGCCACGCCGUAAAACACCUAACUUCUGAACGUUGACCUCGAAUCAGGUAGGACUACCCGCUGAACUUAAGCAUAUCAAUAAGCGGAGGA